UCGAGAAUUUUUCACAAUGGGCGCAAGCCUGAUGGAGCGACGCCGCGUGGGGGAUGAAGGGUUUCGAUCCGUAAACCCCUGUCAUUUGCGAACAAACCUUAUUCAAUAACACUGAAUGAGCUGAUUGUAGUGAAAGAGGAAGGGACGGCUAACUCUGUGCCAGCAGCCGCGGUAAUACAGAGGUCCCAAGCGUUGUUCGGAUUCACUGGGCGUAAAGGGUGCGUAGGUGGCCAGGUAAGUUUGGUGUGAAAGCUCGGAGCUUAACUCCGAAAAGUCAUUGAAUACUAUCUGGCUGGAGGGUCGGAGGGGAGACUGGAAUUCUCGGUGUAGCAGUGAAAUGCGUAGAUAUCGAGAGGAACACCAGUGGCGAAGGCGAGUCUCUGGACGACUCCUGACACUGAGGCACGAAAGCUAGGGGAGCAAAC
RNAcentral lists this ribosomal RNA (425 nucleotides) under uncultured bacterium. RNAcentral's name for it is "bacterial SSU rRNA". It matches the Rfam family "Bacterial small subunit ribosomal RNA", at positions 355 to 773 of the family's 1533-position model. The record is from RNAcentral.